GGCGACAGAACCAAGGUAAUCAACCAUUUUUUCCAGCUCAAUAAUGUAUGGGUCUCACACUCAUUUUAUGGAUGUGUGUUUCUCCAGUUCAGUUUAAUAUUUUAUCACAUACAUAAUAAUACAUGAUCAUAGAGGCUGUUGCUUAAAAGGUUAUAUUUUCAUUUUAUUCCAGGUACAGGGAAGAAAGCCCAGAGGACUAAAGCAGGAAGCCAUGAAGCUUGUUGCAGUCUUUGCUCUACUGUGUCUCCUGGGGGUCAUCACCUGGGCCGAAGAGCUGCAGGACUAUGACCUGAGUCUAAAGACGCCCCAUUGCCGUCACCCAGAGUACCAGGAGUGGUACAGUGUCGGCAACAUGUGCGUCAAGUUGAUAGACCAAGCUCUUAAUUUCAAUGAAGCCGAGAGUCACUGUGCAGGCAUUGGUAAAAACAUUCACCUCGUGAGUCUGCACUGCGCCAAGGACAACUUCAGCAUUGGCCGUUUCGCCAGGGAAAUCAAAGACAGCGACUUCUGGGUGGGCGCACAGAUAAAGCGUGGACGCUGGAAAUGGACUGAUGGCAGCAACACUGAUUACAAGAACUUAAGAGGCACUCCCCCCUCCACAGGUCGCAGCUGCAUUGCAAUGCACGGAGGUGGUAAGUGGGAUGCAGUGAACUGCAACAUGAAAUUGAAUUUCAUCUGUGAAUUCAAAGAAUAAUCUGUGGAGCACCAGAGAAGAGGAACAA
RNAcentral lists this long non-coding RNA (722 nucleotides) under Scleropages formosus (Asian bonytongue). RNAcentral describes it as "lncRNA (ENSSFOG00015025803.1)". The record is from RNAcentral. Lineage: Eukaryota; Metazoa; Chordata; Actinopteri; Osteoglossiformes; Osteoglossidae.